Strigops habroptila (Kakapo) is the source of this 1415-nucleotide long non-coding RNA. RefSeq lists it as uncharacterized. The record is from RefSeq and is a predicted model, not a curated record. NCBI's taxonomy places the organism in Eukaryota, Metazoa, Chordata, Aves, Psittaciformes, Psittacidae. The transcript has 3 exons.
CUAGAGCUUAGCUCAACAGUAAAGGUGCAAGAACAUAGCCUGAUUCAUCUUUUAAACACCGCAGAAGGCUGUAAGGACACCUAAGCUGCAGAUAAACUUGUAAAGCAGGAAACCGCUGAUUUUAAGGAAAUUUGUACCCAUGACCUGCAGUUUCUUACAUGGUACAUCAGAACAGUAGUUCUGCCAGCCCUCUGUCCAAGAGCACACAAAGUACAUCUUUGCAGGCCUCUGACUUUCUUGGCUUGAGCCCAUCUCAAAUUCUCUCCUCAGUGAUCCAGAUGCUUGCGUGCUAGCCAAGAAGUCUCUGCAUUGCCUGUAAUGACAUCUUAGAUUGCUGCAGAGGCAAAGGACGGAUUUAAUCAAUGACACGAGCACUGCAGUCUCUUUAUGCUAUGAAACAGAGGCUCCUGGCCCUGAUUUGCAUGACUCACUGCUAGCCAAGGGUAGUACAGAGGAUUUUAAAGCAUGAAAAUUUAGAGCUACUAAAAAUCCAUCUUGUGUGUUCUGAACGACCUCACUGGUUACUCUUUUUCCAAAAAACAUUGGGAUUUACUAUUUCCCUAACUAUUGUUUUGCUUCAGGCUUUUUCCCUUAAAUGGCCAUAGUCUUUAUGUUACUUAUCAGCUUCAAAAGACGAUCAGGCGUGCAAUAUUUUUGUCCUGUCAGCUGGUAGUGGAUUUCAAAACAGGAUGCCUAUUUUUUCCCCCCAUUAUUUGAAACAGUGAGACACAGAAGUCUGAGCUUUUGUUUGCAGUUGGUUAUACAGGUUCAACCUGGUGAUUCAUUCUUCCUGCAGCUACAUUUCCAGGAAAAGACAAAGUCCUGGCUCUUCUCCAAGUUAUCCAUAGACUGCUUGAGAGUAAGAUCAGAAAGCACUCCUUCUCCCACAGCUGGGACACUUUCUAAGAAGAGAGGAAUUGAGCGCAACACAUCCCAGAGCUGGUGUUACGGCCUUGCAGAGGAGCAAGAAGGCACAUGGCCUUGGAAAGGCAUGUGCAGUACCAAGUCAAGGUGCAGAUAACAGCAUUAUUUACAUGAUUUAAGAUUCUUGGCCUAGUGAAGCACAACUGAACAUUUGCAAGGAGUCACUCUCCAUUUCUGGGACUGAUGGUGAAGCUGGGUGGUUUGUGGAAAAUCCUGCAAUUUCAUUUCUGGCAUGUUAGGAGACUCAGCUUCUUGUUGCAGUUGAUAUGGGCAAGAACGUACCCCUGGAUCUGGGAAUUUUUCAAGAGUUGUUAUUCAGUUAGGAGCUGGUAACUAUGGUUUCAGACAUCUCCUCUCGCGGAUACUGCUGCUCACAGAUGAAGGGAGGCCUCGUUUUCCAUCAUGAAGCAAGGGACUACAGGGUUGUGUGGUUAUGAAUGUAAACUCUAAGCUUUCAGAGAGGGAGUUAAAUAAAAACAUGCACAAAUCUA